RNAcentral lists this ribosomal RNA (618 nucleotides) under Aphanocapsa sp. GSP173-4. RNAcentral's name for it is "bacterial SSU rRNA". It matches the Rfam family "Bacterial small subunit ribosomal RNA", at positions 124 to 775 of the family's 1533-position model. The record is from RNAcentral. Lineage: Bacteria; Bacillati; Cyanobacteriota; Cyanophyceae; Chroococcales; Microcystaceae.
ACCUACCUUCAGAAUGGGGACAACAGUUGGAAACGACUGCUAAUACCCAAUGUGCCGAAAGGUGAAAGAUUUAUCGUCUGAAGAUGGGCUCGCGUCUGAUUAGCUAGAUGGUGGGGUAAGAGCCUACCAUGGCAACGAUCAGUAGCUGGUCUGAGAGGAUGAGCAGCCACACUGGGACUGAGACACGGCCCAGACUCCUACGGGAGGCAGCAGUGGGGAAUUUUCCGCAAUGGGCGAAAGCCUGACGGAGCAAUACCGCGUGAGGGAGGAAGGUCCUUGGAUUGUAAACCUCUUUUAUCAGGGAAGAAGUUCUGACGGUACCUGAUGAAUAAGCAUCGGCUAACUCCGUGCCAGCAGCCGCGGUAAUACGGAGGAUGCAAGCGUUAUCCGGAAUUAUUGGGCGUAAAGCGUCCGUAGGUGGUUAUGCAAGUCUGCCGUUAAAGAAUGGAGCUUAACUCCAUAGGAGCGGUGGAAACUGCAAGACUAGAGUACAGUAGGGGUAGCAGGAAUUCCCAGUGUAGCGGUGAAAUGCGUAGAUAUUGGGAAGAACAUCGGUGGCGAAAGCGUGCUACUGGGCUGAAACUGACACUGAGGGACGAAAGCUAGGGUAGCGAAUGG